RNAcentral lists this ribosomal RNA (1946 nucleotides) under human gut metagenome. Its description in RNAcentral is "bacterial LSU rRNA". It matches the Rfam family "Bacterial large subunit ribosomal RNA", at positions 523 to 2480 of the family's 2925-position model. The record is from RNAcentral.
ACCCCGGGAGGGGAGUGAAAUAGAACCUGAAACCAUAUGCUUACAAGAAGUUAGAGCCCGUUAAAGGGUGAUAGCGUGCCUUUUGUAGAAUGAACCGGCGAGUUACGAUAUGGAGCGAGGUUAAGCAGGAUAUGCGGAGCCGAAGCGAAAGCGAGUCUUAACAGGGCGAAAGUUGCAUGUCGUAGACCCGAAACCGAGUGAUCUAGCCAUGACCAGGUUGAAGUUGGGGUAAAACCCGAUGGAGGACCGAACCGACCCCCGUUGAAACGUUGGCGGAUGAGUUGUGGCUAGGGGUGAAAUUCCAAUCGAACUCGGAGAUAGCUGGUUCUCCCCGAAAUAGCUUUAGGGCUAGCGUCGAGGUAAAGUCGUGUGAAGGUAGAGCACUGAAUAUGUGAUGGCCCCAUCUCGGGGUACUGAACAUAAUCAAACUCCGAAUGUCACAAAGAUAUACUCGGCAGUCAGACAGUGGGUGAUAAGGUCCAUUGUCAAAAGGGAAACAGCCCAGACCAUCAGCUAAGGUCCCAAAAUAUAUACUAAGUGGAAAAGGAUGUGGAGAUGUCCAGACAACUAGGAGGUUGGCUCAGAAGCAGCCAUCCUUUAAAGAGUGCGUAACAGCUCACUAGUCGAAUGACUCUGCGCCGAUAAUUUACCGGGGCUAAGUAUAUUACCGAAGCUAUGGAUUUACGCGUAAGCGUGAGUGGUAGGGGAGCGUUCUAUGUGCGGAGAAGCGGUACCGUAAGGAGCCGUGGAGCGCAUAGAAGAGAGAAUGCCGGUGUGAGUAGCGAAACGUGGGUGAGAAUCCCACGCACCGAAAACCCAAGGUUUCCAGAGGAAGGUUCGUCCGCUCUGGGUAAGUCGGGACCUAAGGCGAGGCCGAGAGGCGUAGUCGAUGGACAACAGGUAGAGAUUCCUGUACUUACGGUAUGAAUGAUGGAGUGACGGAGAAGGCUAGCGGAUCCUGCUGAUGGAAAUGCAGGUGCAAGCGAGGUAGCCGACAGCCAGGCAAAUCCGGCUGUCGAAAGGCAAAGGCGUGAGGCGUAUGGAAAGCUGCGGCAAGUACAGAAGUCCGUGAAGCCAGCUUCCAAGAAAAGCUUCUAGUGAUAAUCAUACAGUAACCCGUACCGAAAAUGGACACACAUGGGUGAGGAGAGAAUCCUAAGGUGAGCGAGAGAACUAUAGCUAAGGAACUCUGCAAAAUGACUCCGUAACUUAGGGAUAAGGAGUGCUCAUAGAGAUAUGAGCCGCAGUGAAACGGCCCAAGCGACUGUUUACCAAAAACACAGCUCUAUGCUAAGUCGAAAGACGACGUAUAUGGGGUGACGCCUGCCCGGUGCUGGAAGGUUAAGAGGAUGUGUCAGCGCAAGCGAAGCAUUGAAUUGAAGCCCCAGUAAACGGCGGCCGUAACUAUAACGGUCCUAAGGUAGCGAAAUUCCUUGUCAGGUAAGUUCUGACCCGCACGAAAGGCGUAACGAUUUGGGCGCUGUCUCAGCUGUAGACUCGGUGAAGUCUUAGUACCUGUGAAGAUGCAGGUUACCCGCGACUAGACGGAAAGACCCCAUGGAGCUUUACUGUAGCUUGAUAUUGGACUUUGAUGCAAGAUGUACAGGAUAGGUAGGAGACUGAGAGACAUGCACGCCAGUGUGUGAGGAGUCAAUGUUGGGAUACUACUCUUCUUGUAUUGGAGUUCUAACCGGAUGCCAUGGAACUGGCAACGGGACAGUGUCAGGUGGGCAGUUUGACUGGGGCGGUCGCCUCCCAAAGAGUAACGGAGGCGCCCAAAGAUACCCUCAGCUUGGAUGGAAAUCAAGCGCAGAGUGCAAAGGCAUAAGGGUGUUUGACUGCGAGACCUACAAGUCGAGCAGGGACGAAAGUCGGGCUUAGUGAUCCGGCGGUGCUGAAUGGAAAGGCCGUCGCUCAACGGAUAAAAGCUACCCUGGGGAUAACAG